UCCCUGGAGGUCCCGUGGUUUGGACUGUGUGCUUUUAAGGCAGAGGGCUCAGGUUCAAUCCCUGGUCAGGGAA
RNAcentral lists this transfer RNA (73 nucleotides) under Bos taurus (domestic cattle). It matches the Rfam family "tRNA". From Rfam's summary of the family: Transfer RNA (tRNA) molecules are approximately 80 nucleotides in length. Their secondary structure includes four short double-helical elements and three loops (D, anti-codon, and T loops). Further hydrogen bonds mediate the characteristic L-shaped molecular structure. tRNAs have two regions of fundamental functional importance: the anti-codon, which is responsible for specific mRNA codon recognition, and the 3' end, to which the tRNAs corresponding amino acid is attached (by aminoacyl-tRNA synthetases). tRNAs cope with the degeneracy of the genetic code in two manners: having more than one tRNA (with a specific anti-codon) for a particular amino acid; and 'wobble' base-pairing, i.e. permitting non-standard base-pairing at the 3rd anti-codon position. RNAcentral also lists the same sequence under 5 other names. Lineage: Eukaryota; Metazoa; Chordata; Mammalia; Artiodactyla; Bovidae. The record is from Rfam by way of RNAcentral.